UAGGGAAUCUUCCGCAAUGGGCGCAAGUCUGAUGGAGCAACGCCGCGUGAGUGAAGAAGGUUUUCGGAUCGUAAAGCUCUGUUGUUGGUGAAGAAGGAUAGAGGUAGUAACUGGCCUUUAUUUGACGGUAAUCAACCAGAAAGUCACGGCUAACUACGUGCCAGCAGCCGCGGUAAUACGUAGGUGGCAAGCGUUGUCCGGAUUUAUUGGGCGUAAAGCGAGCGCAGGCGGAAGAGUAAGUCUGAUGUGAAAGCCCUCGGCUUAACCGAGGAACUGCAUCGGAAACUGUUUUUCUUGAGUGCAGAAGAGGAGAGUGGAACUCCAUGUGUAGCGGUGGAAUGCGUAGAUAUAUGGAAGAACACCAGCGGCGAAGGCGGCUCUCUGGUCUGCAACUGACGCUGAGGCUCGAAAGCAUGGGUAGCGAACAG
RNAcentral lists this ribosomal RNA (428 nucleotides) under uncultured bacterium. Its description in RNAcentral is "bacterial SSU rRNA". It matches the Rfam family "Bacterial small subunit ribosomal RNA", at positions 355 to 775 of the family's 1533-position model. The record is from RNAcentral.